This 217-nucleotide non-coding RNA is filed under the name Clostridia bacterium. RNAcentral describes it as "T-box sequence". It matches the Rfam family "T-box leader". Rfam says of the family: Uncharged tRNA acts as the effector for transcription antitermination of genes in the T-box leader family. T-boxes are found upstream of many aminoacyl-tRNA synthetase genes and some amino acid biosynthetic genes usually in Gram-positive bacteria. The record is from RNAcentral. Lineage: Bacteria; Bacillati; Bacillota; Clostridia.
UGCAAGGCUAUGAUGAGGAAUAGUAAAAGGGAAGAUUCUGAAAGAGAGGAAAACUCAGCGGCUGAAAGGUUUUCCAAGAUAAUUUCUUUUGAACCCGACCUCGGAGCUGCAAAUAAAAAGUUUGUCCGCAUGCCGGCGUUACAGGUAUUGAGUGUUCACAUGCAGCAUAUAUAUGUGUUCAAUUUGGGUGGUACCGCGAAUAACCUUCGUCCCUUUU